This 430-nucleotide ribosomal RNA is filed under the name uncultured archaeon. RNAcentral describes it as "bacterial SSU rRNA". It matches the Rfam family "Archaeal small subunit ribosomal RNA", at positions 474 to 903 of the family's 1478-position model. The record is from RNAcentral.
UACCUGCAGCUCUAGUGGUGAUCGUUAUUAUUGGGCCUAAAACGUCCGUAGCCGGUUUAAUAAAUGCCUGGGUAAAUCGUGUAGCUUAACUAUACGAAUUCCGGGUAGACUGCUAAACUUGAGACCGGGAGAGGCUAGAGGUACUCCUGGGGUAGAGGUGAAAUUCUGUAAUCCUAGGGGGACCACCAGUGGCGAAGGCGUCUAGCCAGAACGGGUCUGACGGUGAGGGACGAAGCCCUGGGGCACAAACCGGAUUAGAUACCCGGGUAGUCCAGGGUGUAAACGCUGCUUGCUUGAUGUUAGCUGGGCUCCGAGCCCGGCUAGUGUCGGAGAGAAGUUGUUAAGCAAGCUAUCUGGGAAGUACGGUCGCAAGACUGAAACUUAAAGGAAUUGGGCGGGGGAGCACAGCAACGGGUGGAGCGUGCGGUUU